CUAGCGACUUCAGAGUUUGAGUCCUGGCUCAGGACGAACGCUGGCGGCGUGCUUAACACAUGCAAGUCGAACGGGGAUUAUUGAGCGGAAGGCUUCGGCCGGAAGGUUGGUAAUUCGAGUGGCGGACGGGUGAGUAACGCGUGAGCAACCUGUCCCAGACAGGGGGAUAACACUUGGAAACAGGUGCUAAUACCGCAUAAGACCACGGGGUCACAUGGCCCAGGGGUAAAAGGAGCAAUCCGGUUCGGGGUGGGCUCGCGUCCGAUUAGCCAGUUGGUGAGGUAACGGCCCACCAAAGCGACGAUCGGUAGCCGACCUGAGAGGGUGAUCGGCCACAUUGGAACUGAGAGACGGUCCAA
Molecule: ribosomal RNA, 359 nt
Filed under: uncultured bacterium
Lineage: Bacteria
Description: bacterial SSU rRNA
Rfam family: Bacterial small subunit ribosomal RNA
Source: RNAcentral